GGAAGAUUAUGUGAUGAGAAUAGGAGAAUGCCACAAGACAAGGACACCAUGGACUAACAGCAGCUGGAAGACACAGAGAACGAUCCUCCCUGUCAGGUUUCAGAGAGAGCACUGCCUGCUGACAUCUUGAUGUUAGACUUCUAGCCUCUGAAAUGGUUCUAGAAGUCAGUAGCAUUCCUUGGCUUGUGAAAUCCUUCCUCCAUCUUCAAAUCCAAAAACAGAUAAUCUCCCUAUUUUAAGGUCAUCUGAUUAGGAACUUCAAUGCCAUCUGGAAUCUUCAUUCCCCAUUGCCCAUCUUCCCAAAUUAUUAUUUUAGCAGGAAGAAUGUGUUUCCAAAAGUGGCAGUCUGCUCCAUUGCUGAUCCAGGUCCAGCACUGACCACAGGGGAUCCAUGACCCCUUCUUCCAUCCAAGAGCACCAGUGGACACGUAUUCUGCAGCCUUCAUAGUAAGUUGUUUCUGGCAAGAGAAGGACAACAAACUGCUAAAGGAACAAGGAUAGACUCCGCUUCUUAAAUAUUGGCAAACAGGCAGCGAGGGCUGGAGACACUUUCUCAGGUCAGUACACAGACAAAACAAAAAUAUCUGAUGGACUCUCAAAUUGGUCUAGGAGCUAAACACAGCAAGCAACACUCCAGUUAAUAUAAAGAAGGCUUCCAACAGAAACCAAGAGGAGAGCAAGGAGAAAUGCACAGAACUUGCCCGUUCUGUUGAAAGACAAACUUGAGGCCUAAACUAGCUUCUAAAUGAAGGACGAGAGAACAUUUCAAUAAAUAAAUACCUACAUAAAAUAAAAUGGUAACCCUAUAAAAACAUUGAGUAACAUAAAAUUAGAAACUUUUUAUUCAACACUUUCAGGGAAGGCUCUAGAAAAGGAGCAAAAUAAUCUUCUCCGUUUUCUUAAUGCAUUUCAUGAAACAAGGAUGUUCAUGGCAUGAACGUUGAGAACGUUUGGGCAAUAGACCUUAGCAAAGAGUUGGCCAGGGAGAAAGUACAGAUGGCAAGAGAGCUGGAUUUAAUAAAGAAAGGUGAAAGACAGUGACAGAAUUUGUUACUUUUAGAAUCUUUAAAGUAAAGAACAGGACUGCUACCAGAGAAAUCAAAGCAGUGACAUUGGAGGCCGUUCGAAGAGUCAGAACAAAACAUGAAACAUGAAUGAGAACAUGGGACGUGAGCAGGAUCGACUAGAGAUCUAAGCCGUGAUAACUGGGAAAGUAAGAUAGCAGCAGGGACUAGAAGAAUUUCUUGAAGAAGAGAACUAUCUUGAGUUGAAUAAAUCCAUUAAGUACCAACAAAAGUAUAAUUAAAAUAAACUAAUAUCCAGAUAGAUCAGGUGAAAUUUUCACUUCAAGGGCAAGAAAAACAAUGCUAGAAAUAUCCAAUUUGAAAAAUGAAGAAGGUCAGUUUGAAAUACAAAUGUUGCAGACAAAUGGAAAAAAAUAUAUCAGAAUGACUUCAGUAUUCUUUUUUCUUUGAGGAGGAAAAGUUGAAAAUGGAAAAUUUUCUUCAGAAGUAAAAGCACUUGUCUCUGAUUUGGUUUCCCCUUUCCAAGUGCAGCUAAGAUUGCAAUUCUAUGCCUGUUUAAACUUCGUGUAGGUGAAGUUGUAAUGAUAAAAUGAAAAUAGGUAGUCAGGGGCCAGCCCGGUGGCCCCUCAGUUGGUAUUGUUUAGUGACAAAAAUUGGCAAACUCAAAUAACUUUGACUCAACAAGAAAUAGCUUUCCCUCUCUCUCUGUAAGAAUUCUGGAGGUCAGCCAUCCAGGGCAGGUCAGGCGAGUCCUUCUUCACCAUCCUUAGAUUGAGGUCUAUAUUCUCAAGGAGGAAGAAUGGAAAGACAACAAGUUGUCUGCCUCCCAGCUGAAUUAGCCCCUUUAAAAAAAUAAUUUUCUGUGAUCACCACCUCAGAAAUUCUGCUUUUAUCUCAAUGGUUGAAAGAGCCUAAAAUGGAAUCUGAGAAGUAUACUUUUACAGAUGGGCACAUCCUUGUCCCUGACUUUACAGGAACAGAGUCCUAAGGAAGAACAGGGCAAGGGACAAUGAGUAGAUAACUUUCAGCCUUGACUUUUCGAAUGGUCCCCAUCACUACUAUUGUGACUAGGUUCUUCCCGCUUCUAGACGAAACUAGAACUAGAAACUCUGCUUCCUGUCAGCUUCUCCUCCAUUUUUGACCAACUCAGGAAAUGGCCCUAGAUUUCAUUUGCUUCAAUCAAAAUUCAGGAAGUUGUGUUUAGCACUAUUCAGCAUAUAAGAAAAAGUUAUGACUCAGAAAAUUUCUUCACAGCUGUUCCAUGUGGUAGAAAUUAUUUCUUUUCCCUUCUACUACAUUUUAACUGGAGUUGAACUCUCCAACUGGAGUUAAAAAUUGCCUUGCUUAGUUGGCUAUAUGCCUAUCAAUUAUUCACAAUAACUUCCUUCCAUAAGUGUAAAUCUUCUUUCAAUACAUCCAAACACAUCGGGUGUGAUGUUGUCACGUUCUUGUGGCCAUCUCCCCGGAGCCCUCGGAUUGUCUCUUCAGUCAGGAACAGAAAGGUGAAUCAGCUAUGUCUCCUGAUCUUGGAGAAGAGGGCUUAUGUAUGAGAUGCCUUAUGAGGCCCAGCAGUGUGC
Molecule: long non-coding RNA, 2602 nt
Filed under: Equus caballus (horse)
Lineage: Eukaryota; Metazoa; Chordata; Mammalia; Perissodactyla; Equidae
Description: lncRNA (ENSECAG00000045918.1)
Source: RNAcentral